UUGUUGCUAAUAGGGUUAGUCAUAUC
Molecule: small RNA, 26 nt
Filed under: Bombyx mori (domestic silkworm)
Lineage: Eukaryota; Metazoa; Arthropoda; Insecta; Lepidoptera; Bombycidae
Description: ovarian small RNA-1254
Source: RNAcentral